Long non-coding RNA from Drosophila ananassae, 799 nucleotides. RefSeq lists it as uncharacterized. Lineage: Eukaryota; Metazoa; Arthropoda; Insecta; Diptera; Drosophilidae. The transcript is spliced from 3 exons. The record is from RefSeq and is a predicted model, not a curated record.
UGUAUCGAACGUGUUCCGCUUCCCUGCCACUUCUUACCCUGAAGUAUUACUAUUAGUAUUACUACUACUAUUAGUAGUACUAUUACUAGUAUUGAACUAUUAGAUUUUCAAAAAAACAUAUUAUAUCAAAUAAAGUGUUUUAUAUUGUGAACAAAGGAAGUGAUAUUGGUGGUGUAGGCGCGAAGCUGAUUCAGUUUCAACGAUGGAUAAGUUACAAGUGUUUUCCUAUAAACAUAGCUUUAAAAGCCCAGAAGCCAUUCUGGCAUUCAACUUUUUAAGUGAUCGCUUUAAUGAUCGUUUUGGGCACUCUAUGAAACGCGCACCGUUCCUAGAUGGACCGUGCAAAAUAUCAAAGACGUGCAUGCGUGAAAAUUCGCACUUACAAGAAGCACCUAUUAAAAAUAAAAACAUAAAAAUAAGCGAAAAAAUAAUAUGCGAAAUUAUCGACAAACACAAAUGACGAAAACGAAAGAAACAUCAUAAAAGCAAAGGAAGAGCAGCAGAUUGCGUCGCGAAUUUGACCUUGACAGGUUGACUUUAUUAACGAGUAUAUACACAUAGGCAAAAAUCGGCAGUUGAACUUAACAUUUUUAUUACCUGAAAACAUUGGCAAAUGCACUGAUAUCACUCAUAAAGGGGGAAUCGGGGGGGAACAUUUCCAAAAGUCUACUUAAACAUGAAAAAGACGUUCAUAUAAUACACAAAAAAUGUAUAGUUAAUUAAAAACACAUAAUGAAUAAAAUAUUUAUCAAAUAAAUUUCACAAUAAGUAACACGGUGCGACAGUGAAAAAACACUUG